Molecule: long non-coding RNA, 456 nt
Organism: Manduca sexta (tobacco hornworm)
Lineage: Eukaryota; Metazoa; Arthropoda; Insecta; Lepidoptera; Sphingidae
Exons: 3
Source: RefSeq, a predicted model, not a curated record
UGUUACUCCGUGGCAGUUGCGAAAGGAAAGAGGACGAGUAAUUGCAUUGUGAAAAAUCACACCACUAUCAACUUAUAAAUACCAGAGAAAUGUCACGUCUACACAAAAGGCCGAAGAGCGGACAAUAAACAACUAUAUAUAAAGUAAUGAAUGUCUGUUUUCUGAUUAAUCUCCGCACAUCGACUCAACAGAAUAUUGGGGUAGACAUAGGUUUAACGGACAGACAGCAGCUGUUUUUGUAGUAUGUAAUAUGGGGCGAUCCUUAUGUCGCUUACUGAGCACAAUGCCAGACUCCCGACUAAUAUUGAACAGAAAACCCAACAUCACUUUGCCCAACCUGGGCUUCAAACCCCACCACCUCAAAGCGGUGUAAUACCGUGUAAUAUACACAGAGACGGUCUUGAGGUAUUAGUCUCACGAUCCAAACCCUUAUUAAAGCAGACGAAGUAAACAAUA